This 234-nucleotide ribosomal RNA is filed under the name uncultured bacterium. RNAcentral describes it as "partial 16S ribosomal RNA". It matches the Rfam family "Bacterial small subunit ribosomal RNA", at positions 104 to 334 of the family's 1533-position model. The record is from RNAcentral.
CGGGGUGGAGUAACGCGUGGGUAACCGUGCCUCAUACAGGGGGAUAACAGUUAGAAAUGACUGCUAAUACCGCAUAAGCGCACAGUGCCGCAUGGCACAGUGUGAAAAACUCCGGUGGUAUGAGAUGGACCCGCGUCUGAUUAGCUAGUUGGUGGGGUAACGGCCUACCAAGGCGACGAUCAGUAGCCGGCCUGAGAGGGUGAACGGCCACAUUGGGACUGAGACACGGCCCAA